AGAGUUUCAUUCUGGCUCAGGAUGAACGCUGGCGGCGUGCUUAACACAUGCAAGUCGAACGGGAAACCUUUUAUUGAAGCUUCGGCAGAUUUAGCUGGUUUCUAGUGGCGGACGGGUGAGUAACGCGUGGGUAACCUGCCUUAUACAGGGGGAUAACAACCAGAAAUGGUUGCUAAUACCGCAUAAGCGCACAGGACCGCAUGGUCUAGUGUGAAAAACUCCGGUGGUAUAAGAUGGACCCGCGUUGGAUUAGCUAGUUGGCAGGGUAACGGCCUACCAAGGCGACGAUCCAUAGCCGGCCUGAGAGGGUGAACGGCCACAUUGGGACUGAGACACGGCCCAGACUCCUACGGGAGGCAGCAGUGGGGAAUAUUGCACAAUGGGGGAAACCCUGAUGCAGCGACGCCGCGUGAAGGAAGAAGUAUCUCGGUAUGUAAACUUCUAUCAGCAGGGAAGAUAGUGACGGUACCUGACUAAGAAGCCCCGGCUAACUACGUGCCAGCAGCCGCGGUAAUACGUAGGGGGCAAGCGUUAUCCGGAUUUACUGGGUGUAAAGGGAGCGUAGACGGACUGGCAAGUCUGAUGUGAAAGGCGGGGGCUCAACCCCUGGACUGCAUUGGAAACUGUUAGUCUUGAGUGCCGGAGAGGUAAGCGGAAUUCCUAGUGUAGCGGUGAAAUGCGUAGAUAUUAGGAGGAACACCAGUGGCGAAGGCGGCUUACUGGACGGUAACUGACGUUGAGGCUCGAAAGCGUGGGGAGCAAACAAGAUUAGAUACCCUGGUAGUCCACGGCGUAAAC
RNAcentral lists this ribosomal RNA (798 nucleotides) under uncultured bacterium. RNAcentral describes it as "bacterial SSU rRNA". It matches the Rfam family "Bacterial small subunit ribosomal RNA", at positions 8 to 807 of the family's 1533-position model. The record is from RNAcentral.